CGUGUUUAUUGUACCUUGUUGCUUCGGCGGGCCCGCCUCACGGCCGCCGGGGGGCAUCUGCCCCCGGGCCCGCGCCCGCCGAAGACACCUUGAACUCUGUAUGAAAAUUGCAGUCUGAGUCUAAAUAUAAAUUAUUUAAAACUUUCAACAACGGAUCUCUUGGUUCCGGCAUCGAUGAAGAACGCAGCGAAAUGCGAUACGUAAUGUGAAUUGCAGAAUUCAGUGAAUCAUCGAGUCUUUGAACGCGCAUUGCGCCCCCUGGUAUUCCGGGGGGCAUGCCUGUCCGAGCGUCACUGCUGCCCUCAAGCCCGGCUUGUGUGUUGGGUCUCGUCCCCCUUCCCGGGGGGACGGGCCCGAAAGGAAGCGGCGGCGCCGCGUCCGGUCCUCGAGCGUAUGGGGAUUUGUCACGCGCUCUGUAUGCCCAGCCGGCGCUUGCCGAUCAACCAAAACUUUUUUGCGGGUAGACCUCGGAUGCGGUAGGGAUGCCCGCUGAACUAAAGCAUAUCGUUAAUCGGAGGA
This 519-nucleotide ribosomal RNA is filed under the name uncultured Ascomycota. RNAcentral describes it as "partial 18S ribosomal RNA". The stretch from base 140 to 293 matches the Rfam family "5.8S ribosomal RNA". The record is from RNAcentral. Lineage: Eukaryota; Fungi; Ascomycota.